This 363-nucleotide long non-coding RNA is filed under the name Trifolium pratense (red clover). RNAcentral describes it as "long non-coding RNA (TPRA_LNC011907)". The record is from RNAcentral. Lineage: Eukaryota; Viridiplantae; Streptophyta; Magnoliopsida; Fabales; Fabaceae.
UUAUUAUAUAGUAAAAAACAAUAAACUAAUCAAAAUAAGAUUCUUAAACUUAACAAUAAUAACUCUGUAGUGAACUAAUGAAAUCAAAAUUAGAACAAAAAUUAAACAAUUGAGGAAACCCUAAACCCGUAGAAGUAGAACCGUUGAAAACAAACAGUCUAUGGCGAAAAAACACUCAUCAUCGUUCAAUUAAAUGGUAAUUGAACUAAAAUAGUGAUAAACAUUGAGAAAGCAUCGGAAAAUUGAGGAUUAAUUAGGAUCGAUUAACUGAAAGAUUAAGAUUAGCGAGUUUUUGAGAGAGAAAAAACCUGAUGGAUGAUGUUUGAUCUCAGAAUUGAGAGAGGAACACACGAAACGAAUAUA